CGACACAGGUGGUCAGGUAGAGAAUACCAAGGCGCUUGAGAGAACUCGGGUGAAGGAACUAGGCAAAAUGGUGCCGUAACUUCGGGAGAAGGCACGCUGAUAUGUAGGUGAAGUCCCUCGCGGAUGGAGCUGAAAUCAGUCGAAGAUACCAGCUGGCUGCAACUGUUUAUUAAAAACACAGCACUGUGCAAACACGAAAGUGGACGUAUACGGUGUGACGCCUGCCCGGU
This 230-nucleotide ribosomal RNA is filed under the name Escherichia coli. Its description in RNAcentral is "partial 23S ribosomal RNA". It matches the Rfam family "Bacterial large subunit ribosomal RNA", at positions 1655 to 1867 of the family's 2925-position model. Lineage: Bacteria; Pseudomonadati; Pseudomonadota; Gammaproteobacteria; Enterobacterales; Enterobacteriaceae. The record is from RNAcentral.